UACGUAGGGUGCAAGCGUUAAUCGGAAUUACUGGGCGUAAAGCGUGCGCAGGCGGUGAUGUAAGACAGAUGUGAAAUCCCCGGGCUCAACCUGGGAACUGCAUUUGUGACUGCAUCGCUGGAGUACGGCGCAGAGGGGGAUGGAAUUCCGCGUGUAGCAGUGAAAUGCGUAGAUAUGCGGAGGAACACCGAUGGCGAAGGGCAAUCCCCCUGGGCCUG
This 218-nucleotide ribosomal RNA is filed under the name uncultured bacterium. RNAcentral's name for it is "partial 16S ribosomal RNA". It matches the Rfam family "Bacterial small subunit ribosomal RNA", at positions 524 to 738 of the family's 1533-position model. The record is from RNAcentral.